GAUGAACGCUGGCGGCGUGCCUAAUACAUGCCAGUCGAGCGAACGGACGAGAAGCUUGCUUCUCUGAUGUUAGCGGCGGACGGGUGAGUAACACGUGGAUAACCUACCUAUAAGACUGGGAUAACUUCGGGAAACCGGAGCUAAUGCCGGAUAAUAUUUUGAACCGCAUGGUUCAAAAGUGAAAGACGGUCUUGCUGUCACUUAUAGAUGGAUCCGCGCUGCAUUAGCUAGUUGGUAAGGUAACGGCUUACCAAGGCAACGAUGCAUAGCCGACCUGAGAGGGUGAUCGGCCACACAGGAACUGAGACACGGUCCAGACUCCUAAGGGAGGCAGCAGUAGGGAAUCUUCCGCAAUGGGCGAAAGCCUGACGGAGCAACGCCGCGUGAGUGAUGAAGGUCUUCGGAUCGUAAAACUCUGUUAUUAGGGAAGAACAUAUGUGUAAGUAACUGUGCACAUCUUGACGGUACCUAAUCAGAAAGCCACGGCUAACUACGUG
Molecule: ribosomal RNA, 497 nt
Filed under: uncultured bacterium
Lineage: Bacteria
Description: partial 16S ribosomal RNA
Rfam family: Bacterial small subunit ribosomal RNA
Source: RNAcentral